AUUGAACGCUGGCGGCAUGCCUUACACAUGCAAGUCGAACGGCAGCACGGGGGCAACCCUGGUGGCGAGUGGCGAACGGGUGAGUAAUAUAUCGGAACGUGCCCACGAGUGGGGGAUAACGUAGCGAAAGUUACGCUAAUACCGCAUACGAUCUAUGGAUGAAAGCGGGGGAUCGCAAGAUCUCGCGCUCAUGGAGCGGCCGAUAUCUGAUUAGCUAGUUGGUGGGGUAAAGGCCUACCAAGGCAUCGAUCAGUAGCUGGUCUGAGAGGACGACCAGCCAUACUGGAACUGAGACACGGUCCAGACUCCUACGGGAGGCAGCAGUGGGGAAUUUUGGACAAUGGGGGCAACCCUGAUCCAGCAAUGCCGCGUGAGUGAAGAAGGCCUUCGGGUUGUAAAGCCUUUGUCAGGAGAACGGUAUUCCUAAUACGAGUGACUAAUGACGGUACCUGAAGAAUAAGCACCGGCUAACUACGUGCCAGCAGCCGCGGUAAU
This 495-nucleotide ribosomal RNA is filed under the name uncultured bacterium. RNAcentral describes it as "bacterial SSU rRNA". It matches the Rfam family "Bacterial small subunit ribosomal RNA", at positions 30 to 524 of the family's 1533-position model. The record is from RNAcentral.